UGAGGAAUAUUGGUCAAUGGACGAGAGUCUGAACCAGCCAAGUAGCGUGCAGGAUGACGGCCCUAUGGGUUGUAAACUGCUUUUGUUUGGGAAUAAUCGACAUUACGUGUAAUGUUUUGCAUGUACCAUUCGAAUAAGGACCGGCUAAUUCCGUGCCAGCAGCCGCGGUAAUACGGAAGGUCCAGUCGUUAUCCGGUUUUAUUGGGUUUAAAGGGAGUGUAGGCGGUUGGUUAAGCGUGUUGUGAAAUGUAGAUGGUCAACAUCUGACUUGCAGCGCGAACUGUCAGACUUGAGUGCGUACAACGUAGGCGGAAGUCCUGGUGUAGCGGUGAAAUGCUUAGAUGUCAUGAAGAACUCCGAUUGCGAAGGCAGCUUACGGGAGCGCAACUGACGCUGAAGCUCGAAGGUGCGGGUAUCGAACAGG
This 424-nucleotide ribosomal RNA is filed under the name Verrucomicrobiota bacterium. RNAcentral's name for it is "Verrucomicrobia bacterium partial 16S ribosomal RNA". It matches the Rfam family "Bacterial small subunit ribosomal RNA", at positions 355 to 776 of the family's 1533-position model. The record is from RNAcentral. Lineage: Bacteria; Pseudomonadati; Verrucomicrobiota.